GCCGCGUGAGCGAAGAAGGCCUUCGGGUCGUAAAGCUAUGUCCAGGGGGAAGAACAAAUGACGGUACCCCUGUACGAGCCCCGGCUAACUACGUGCCAGCAGCCGCGGUAACACGUAGGGGGCAAGCGUUGUCCGGAAUCACUGGGCGUAAAGCGCGCGUAGGCGGCCUCAUAAGUCAGUGGUGAAAACCGGCGGCUCAACCGCAGGCUUGCCUCUGAAACUGUGAGGCUUGAGGACAGGAGAGGAGAGUGGAAUUCCCAGUGUAGCGGUGAAAUGCGUAGAUAUUGGGAGGAACACCAGUGGCGAAGGCGACUCUCUGGCCUG
This 324-nucleotide ribosomal RNA is filed under the name uncultured bacterium. RNAcentral's name for it is "bacterial SSU rRNA". It matches the Rfam family "Bacterial small subunit ribosomal RNA", at positions 396 to 736 of the family's 1533-position model. The record is from RNAcentral.